CCUACGUGAGGCAGCAGUGAGGAAUAUUGGUCAAUGGCCGGAAGGCUGAACCAGCCAUGCCGCGUGAAGGACAGUGCCCUAUGGGCGUUAAACUUCUUUUGUGCGGGAGCAAUAAUGGUCACGGUUGGCCAGACGAGAGUACCCUACGAAUAAGCAUCGGCUAACUCCGUGCCAGCAGCCGCGGGAAUAAGGGGGAUGCCAGCGGUUUCCGGAUUUAUUGGGGUUAAAGGGGGGGUAUGUGGGUUGUUAAGUCAGUGGUGAAAGUUUGCGGGGCAAACGUAGAAUUGCAAUUGAUACUGGCAGUCUUGAGUACAGUUGAGGUAGGCGGAAUGCGUGGUGUAGCGGUGAAAUGCUUAGAUAUCACGAAGAACUCCGAUUGCGAAGGCAGCUUACUAAACUGCCACUGACAUUGAUGCUCGAAAGUGUGGGUAUCGAACAGGAUUAGAUACCCCAGUAGUC
This 459-nucleotide ribosomal RNA is filed under the name uncultured bacterium. RNAcentral describes it as "partial 16S ribosomal RNA". It matches the Rfam family "Bacterial small subunit ribosomal RNA", at positions 338 to 795 of the family's 1533-position model. The record is from RNAcentral.